UAAAAUAACUUUGCUACCCUGAACAAGCCCGAUCCUGUCUGAUCUCGGAAACUAAGCAGGGUCGGGCCUGGUUAGUGCUUGGAUGGGAGACCACCUAGGAAGACCAGGUGCUGUAGGCA
Molecule: ribosomal RNA, 119 nt
Filed under: Pteropus alecto (black flying fox)
Lineage: Eukaryota; Metazoa; Chordata; Mammalia; Chiroptera; Pteropodidae
Source: RNAcentral